CGUCGUGAGACAGUUCGGUCCCUACCUGUUGCGGGCGUAGGAUACUUGAGGAGAGCAUUUCCUAGUACGAGAGGGCCGGAAAUGACGAACCGCCUGUGUACCUGUUAUUUUACCAAAAGUAGCGCAGGGUAUCGGUGUUCGGAAAGGAUAAGCGCUGAAAGCAUAUAAGCGCCAAGCCAACUCCAAGAUAAGGUAUCCCAACCCUAAGGGUUAAGAAGAUCCGUCGAAGACUACGACGUUGAUAGGUAAGAGGUGGAAGUGCCGUAAGGCAUGUAGCUGACUUAUACUAAUUGAUCGUUCGGCUUAACUUUC
Molecule: ribosomal RNA, 312 nt
Filed under: Candidatus Omnitrophota bacterium
Lineage: Bacteria; Pseudomonadati; Candidatus Omnitrophota
Description: bacterial LSU rRNA
Rfam family: Bacterial large subunit ribosomal RNA
Source: RNAcentral